Molecule: long non-coding RNA, 2575 nt
Filed under: Canis lupus familiaris (dog)
Lineage: Eukaryota; Metazoa; Chordata; Mammalia; Carnivora; Canidae
Description: lncRNA (ENSCAFG00030001228.1)
Source: RNAcentral
UCUGGCAGGAGACAUGACUAGUGGUGCCAUCUUUGUUCUGUCCUUCCCUUCUGCUCAGAACAUGGAUCUGAUGCUUGGCAGCAGCAGCAGCACCGUCCUGAUGAUAAGGGCAAGCAAAGACAACUGUAGAGACACUGGUGCCGGUGACAUUAAGUCCUCCGUGUCCGGUGGAAAAACCCUCUUAAAGAAUGCAGAUGCCCAAGGAGAGGAAACCUUUUAUGCAUACCUUGUCAUUUAUCGGCAUUGAUGACUGGCUUGCUGAGAGGCAGUUUUCAUUGAGCAAUCACUGAGAGGAACCAUCGUCUGCCCAGAGAAAGCAGUAGAAGAGAUCCAGAGCUACUACCUCUUAGUGGCACUGAUCCACAGGGCUCUGGGUUGAUUUGGAAUGAGCUGUGACUCCUGAAGAAUUCUCAUAGAUUCCUGCCUGGGCGGGAGUGGGAGGCAGGAUAAUGUCCAUACCCAUGUUCUAAUCCCUGGACCUGUUAAUAUAUCACAUUACAUGGCCAAGGGGAAUUAAGGUAGCAGAGGAAUUAAGGUAGCUAAUUAGCUAGCUUGAUGAUAGGGAGAUUAUCCUGAAUUAUCUGGAUGACCCCAAUGACAUCACAGGAUCCUUCAAAGAAAAAAAUGAAGGCAAAAGAAGGAGAUAGAGAAUUGGAAGGAGAUGGGAAGACAGUACCAGGUAGAAAUGAUCUAAGGCUCAAGACCAUUGCUAGUUUGAAGGUGGAAGAACGGCUCACAGUUAAGGAAUGUGCAUGACCUCCAAAGCUGGAAAAGGCAAGGAAAUGGAUUCUCCCCUCCAGACGGGAAUGCAGCCUGACCCACAGCUUGUUUUCAGGCCAGUGAGACCCAUGUCAGACUUCUGUCCUGGAGAACUGGAGGCUAAUAAAUUUGUGUUGUUUUAAGUCAUUUUGUUUGUGGUAAAAAUAUUUAUUCAUUAAUUGAUUCCCUUAUUCAUUCAGCAAAUAUUACUGAGCUUCUACUUUGAGUUGAGCACUUUUAUAGAUGUUGGGGAUAUAGUAAGAAUAAAACAGAUUUAAAGUAACCUCUAUGGAGUGCCUGGAUGGCUCGGUUGGUUAAGCGUCUGCCUUUGGCUCAAGUCAUGAUCCCUGGGUCCUGGGAUCAAGCCCAAGCCUGGCAUCAGGCUCUCCGCUCAGCAGGGAGUCUGCUUCUCCCUCCCCCUCUGCCCACUCCCCCAGCUUGUGCUUGCUCUCUUUUGCUCUAUUUCAAAUAAAUAAAUAACUUUUUAAAAAAAUAUUUUAUUUAUUUAUUUGACUAAUAGAGAGUGCAAGCAGGGGGAAUGGCAGGCAGAAGGAGAGAGAGAGGGAGAAGCAGACUCCCCACAGAGCAGGGAGCCUCCAAUGUGGGGCUCCAUCCCAGGACCCCAGGAUCAUGAUCUGAGCCAAAGGCAGACGCUUACCCGACUGAGCCACCCAGGCACCCCUAAAAUCUUAAGAACAAAGCAAAACAAAACAAACAUCACCUCUACUCUCACAAAAGCUUUCUAUUUAUUAGAGGAGAAGCGGUUUGUUUGUGUGUUUGUUUUAAUUAAGUGAAACCUACUGGUAUUAUGUAGUUUAGAGGCCAGAAGUGCUAUUGUGGAAGAAUAAAAAAGUGAAGGAGAGCAGGGAGAAGUGGGGAGGGGGUUGCCAUGAAGGUAACACCGCCAAGUUAUGUUUGAGCCCAGUUGGCUACGUGGGGGAGGAACCUUCCAGGCGGAGUGGCAGCAGGUACAAAGCCCAGAGAUGAGGGUGUGCCAGGGUGGUCCAGCAGGAGCAAGGAAGCCCGUGUGCCUGGAGCUGAGGGCGUGAGGACAAGGACGAUAAAACCAGAGAGUCUGUGGAGCUGGCUUUAGAGAGGCCACCGGAAACCUCUGGCAUUUACCCUGAGUCUGGGAGCCCUCAUCUUCACCUGAGAAGGAUGGCUCUUGUGGCUGGUACCUAGCAGGCUGCUAGGGCCAUGAGGGGAAGCUGGGGCACAUGUAGUGAGGAAGGGGGGAGGGAGGGACAGCGGAGCUGGGCAGAAGGAUCCUAACCAGGACAUAGUUUGAGGACAGAGCUUAGAGCACUUGGCGAUGAAGGGGGUGUGCGCUGUGCGAGGCCGAGGGCCGAGCAUGUGGCCUGAGCGCCUGCACGGGCAGGGCCGUGGGCCGCAGAGGCAGCGCCCGGCAGAGAAGCGGGCUGGGGCUGCGCGUUGGGCAUAUUUGAGAUGCUGAUCUCACGUCCAAGUGCAGGUGUCAACUAAGUAGCUGGAAAUACACAUCUGGAGUUCAGAGGCGAGAUCCAGACUGGAGAUGAAAAUUUGCAACAUGGUCACGUUAAAUACAGGAAUAUGGACCGGCCUGAGGCUGGGUGAGCUCACAGGGAUGGGCCUCGGAGAGAAGGAAGAGACCAGAGGCCUGAGUCUGGAGGAGUGGCAGUGUCUCCUCCCUGGGACACAGGGAGGAACCAGCAGACGUGGGAGGAGUGACAGGUGAGAAACUGGGAGGACUCAGUGCCUGGUCCAAGGAGGGGUUUCAAGAACAAAGUGAUUGUUUGUCUGAAAUGCUGCUGAGAUGACUCGUCGGAUGAGCUGGAUA